UCACUUGUUAGUACUCCGUCCUCGUCAC
This 28-nucleotide non-coding RNA is filed under the name Bombyx mori (domestic silkworm). Lineage: Eukaryota; Metazoa; Arthropoda; Insecta; Lepidoptera; Bombycidae. The record is from RNAcentral.